This 490-nucleotide ribosomal RNA is filed under the name Lactococcus sp. GM330. RNAcentral describes it as "bacterial SSU rRNA". It matches the Rfam family "Bacterial small subunit ribosomal RNA", at positions 33 to 504 of the family's 1533-position model. The record is from RNAcentral. Lineage: Bacteria; Bacillati; Bacillota; Bacilli; Lactobacillales; Streptococcaceae.
ACGCUGGCGGCGUGCUUAAUAACAUGCAAGUUGAGCGCUGAAGGUUGGUACUUGUACCGACUGGAUGAGCAGCGAACGGGUGAGUAACGCGUGGGGAAUCUGCCUUUGAGCGGGGGACAACAUUUGGAAACGAAUGCUAAUACCGCAUAAAAACUUUAAACACAAGUUUUAAGUUUGAAAGAUGCAAUUGCAUCACUCAAAGAUGAUCCCGCGUUGUAUUAGCUAGUUGGUGAGGUAAAGGCUCACCAAGGCGAUGAUACAUAGCCGACCUGAGAGGGUGAUCGGCCACAUUGGGACUGAGACACGGCCCAAACUCCUACGGGAGGCAGCAGUAGGGAAUNUUCGGCAAUGGACGAAAGUCUGACCGAGCAACGCCGCGUGAGUGAAGAAGGUUUUCGGAUCGUAAAACUCUGUUGGUAGAGAAGAACGUUGGUGAGAGUGGAAAGCUCAUCAAGUGACGGUAACUACCCAGAAAGGGACGGCUAACUAC